AUUUAAAUAGCUUAUGUAUAGAGUGUAAUAUUGAAGAUAUUAAGGAGAUUAUAUAAUCUUUAAAUA
This 66-nucleotide transfer RNA is filed under the name Parnassius acdestis. Its description in RNAcentral is "tRNA-Phe". The record is from RNAcentral. Lineage: Eukaryota; Metazoa; Arthropoda; Insecta; Lepidoptera; Papilionidae.